AAAGGAAUGAAGGAGGAAGAGAGAGAAGGGUACUUGAAGCAAGCUGCUAAUCCCUCAAAUACUGAAUCUCAUUAUAUACUUCCACAUCUUCUCAAUUUAUAUGCAUCGCGAGCCAAGGCACAAGAUUUUGAGAUUUAUGCUCCAAAUGCAACGUUUGAAGAUCCCCUUAUGCGUGCAGAGGGGGUAAAGCAGAUAAAAUCGUCAUUUUAUUCUCUCGGGAAGGUCU
This is a long non-coding RNA of Solanum verrucosum, 226 nucleotides long. RefSeq lists it as uncharacterized. The transcript has 3 exons. The record is from RefSeq and is a predicted model, not a curated record. Lineage: Eukaryota; Viridiplantae; Streptophyta; Magnoliopsida; Solanales; Solanaceae.